GGGAGGCCUGCACAGGUGCUGCAUGGCUGUCGUCAGCUCGUGUCGUGAGAUGUCCGGUUAAGUCCGGUAACGAGCGCAACCCUCGCUGUAUGUUAUACGUGUCAUACGGGACUGCCGGUAUCAAGCCGGAGGAAGGUGGGGAUGACGUCAAGUCAGCAUGGCCUUUAUGUCUGGGGCUACACACACGCUACAAUGGCCAGUACAAUAGGUUGCAAGACCGCGAGGUGGAGCCAAUCCUAAAAGCUGGUCUCAGUUCGGAUUGCAGGCUGCAACUCGCCUGCAUGAAGUCGGAGUUGCUAGUAACCGCGCGUCAGCUAUAGUGCGGUGAAUACGUUCCCGGGCCUU
RNAcentral lists this ribosomal RNA (345 nucleotides) under uncultured Anaerolineaceae bacterium. RNAcentral's name for it is "bacterial SSU rRNA". It matches the Rfam family "Bacterial small subunit ribosomal RNA", at positions 1023 to 1382 of the family's 1533-position model. The record is from RNAcentral. Lineage: Bacteria; Bacillati; Chloroflexota; Anaerolineae; Anaerolineales; Anaerolineaceae.